RNAcentral lists this ribosomal RNA (497 nucleotides) under uncultured bacterium. Its description in RNAcentral is "partial 16S ribosomal RNA". It matches the Rfam family "Bacterial small subunit ribosomal RNA", at positions 28 to 507 of the family's 1533-position model. The record is from RNAcentral.
GAUGAACGCUGGCGGCGUGCCUAAUACAUGCAAGUCGAGCGAACGGACGAGAAGCUUGCUUCUCUGAUGUUAGCGGCGGACGGGUGAGUAACACGUGGAUAACCUACCUAUAAGACUGGGAUAACUUCGGGAAACCGGAGCCAAUACCGGAUAAUAUUUUGAACCGCAUGGUUCAAAAGUGAAAGACGGUCUUGCUGUCACUUAUAGAUGGAUCCGCGCUGCAUUAGCUAGUUGGUAAGGUAACGGCUUACCAAGGCAACGAUGCAUAGCCGACCUGAGAGGGUGAUCGGCCACACUGGAACUGAGACACGGUCCAGACUCCUACGGGAGGCAGCAGUAGGGAAUCUUCCGCAAUGGGCGAAAGCCUGACGGAGCAACGCCGCGUGAGUGAUGAAGGUCUUCGGAUCGUAAAACUCUGUUAUUUGGGAAGAACAUAUGUGUAAGUAACUGUGCACAUCUUGACGGUACCUAAUCAGAAAGCCACGGCUAACUACGUG